RNAcentral lists this small nucleolar RNA (138 nucleotides) under Lepisosteus oculatus (spotted gar). RNAcentral's name for it is "Small nucleolar RNA SNORA11". It matches the Rfam family "Small nucleolar RNA SNORA11". From Rfam's summary of the family: U107 (SNORA11) is a member of the H/ACA class of snoRNAs that guide the sites of modification of uridines to pseudouridines. This snoRNA was identified by RT-PCR from blood cells and its expression confirmed by Northern blot analysis. The record is from Rfam by way of RNAcentral. Lineage: Eukaryota; Metazoa; Chordata; Actinopteri; Semionotiformes; Lepisosteidae.
UUGGUGUGUUCAGAGCGGGAGUCUUGCAGACUAUAGGCUGCCUGUUUAUACCACACCAGAGAGCAACACCACUGCCAGGAGCAAACAGGGGGCUUAAAGUAAGUUGGCUCAUCUUGUAUCCUUCAUGGCAGUACAUUU